UACGAAGGGGACUAGCGUUGUUCGGAUUUACUGGGCGUAAAGCGCGCGUAGGCGGAUCGCUAAGUCAGGGGUGAAAUCCCAGGGCUCAACCCUGGAACUGCCUUUGAUACUGACGAUCUGGAGAUCGGGAGAGGUGAGUGGAAUUCCGAGUGUAGAGGUGAAAUUCGUAGAUAUUCGGAGGAACACCAGAAGCGAAGGCGGCUCACUGGCCCGAUACUGACGCUGAGGCGCGAAAGCGUGGGGAGCAAACAGG
This 253-nucleotide ribosomal RNA is filed under the name uncultured bacterium. RNAcentral's name for it is "partial 16S ribosomal RNA". It matches the Rfam family "Bacterial small subunit ribosomal RNA", at positions 524 to 776 of the family's 1533-position model. The record is from RNAcentral.